CUCCGCCGGCGACCGGCGCACGGGUGAGUAACACGUAUGCAACCUGCCCCUGUCAGGGGACAACCCGCCGAAAGGCGGGCUAAACCCGCGUACAUGCCACCGGGGCAUCCCGGGAGGCAGGAAAGGCUUCGGCCGGACAGGGAUGGGCAUGCGGCGCAUUAGGCAGUAGGCGGGGUAACGGCCCACCUAACCGACGAUGCGUAGGGGUUCUGAGAGGAAGGUCCCCCACAUGGUACUGAGACACGGACCAGACUCCUACGGGAGGCAGCAG
Molecule: ribosomal RNA, 271 nt
Filed under: uncultured bacterium
Lineage: Bacteria
Description: partial 16S ribosomal RNA
Rfam family: Bacterial small subunit ribosomal RNA
Source: RNAcentral